AUUGAACGCUGGCGGCAUGCCUAACACAUGCAAGUCGAACGGCAGCACAGCAUGUAGCAAUACAUGUGGGUGGCGAGUGGCGGACGGGUGAGUAACGCGUGGGAAUCUGCCCUAUAGUGGGGGACAACCCGACGAAAGUCGGGCUAAUACCGCAUACGCCCUACGGGGAAAGGCUUCGGCCGCUAUUGGAUGAGCCCGCGUCGGAGUUAGCUAGUUGGUGAGGUAAUGGCUCACCAAGGCGACGAUCCGUAGCUGGUCUGAGAGGACGAUCAGCCACACUGGGACUGAGACACGGCCCAGACUCCUACGGGAGGCAGCAGUGGGGAAUAUUGCACAAUGGGCGAAAGCCUGAUGCAGCAAUGCCGCGUGUGUGAAGAAGGCCUUGCGGGGUUGUAAAGCACUUUCGGUGGGGAAGAAAUGCUGGGUUAAUACCCUGAGUAG
RNAcentral lists this ribosomal RNA (441 nucleotides) under uncultured bacterium. RNAcentral's name for it is "bacterial SSU rRNA". It matches the Rfam family "Bacterial small subunit ribosomal RNA", at positions 30 to 472 of the family's 1533-position model. The record is from RNAcentral.